This 346-nucleotide ribosomal RNA is filed under the name uncultured bacterium. Its description in RNAcentral is "partial 16S ribosomal RNA". It matches the Rfam family "Bacterial small subunit ribosomal RNA", at positions 338 to 681 of the family's 1533-position model. The record is from RNAcentral.
CCUACGGGUGGCUGCAGUGAGGAAUAUUGGUCAAUGGACGAGAGUCUGAACCAGCCAAGUAGCGUGAAGGAUGACUGCCCUAUGGGUUGUAAACUGCUUUUAUAGGGGAAUAAAACGUGCCACGUGUGGGAUUUUGUAUGUACCAUAUGAAUAAGGAUCGGCUAACUCCGUGCCAGCAGCCGCGGUAAUACGGAGGAUCCGAGCGUUAUCCGGAUUGAUUGGGGUUAAAGGGAGCGUAGGGGGUUUGUUAAGUCAGUUGUGAAAGUUUGCGGCUCAACCGUAAAAUUGCAGUUGAAACUGGCAGUCUUGAUUACAGUAGAGCUUGGCGGCAUUCGUGGUGUAGCGG